Nerophis ophidion (straightnose pipefish) is the source of this 198-nucleotide long non-coding RNA. RefSeq lists it as uncharacterized. The record is from RefSeq and is a predicted model, not a curated record. NCBI's taxonomy places the organism in Eukaryota, Metazoa, Chordata, Actinopteri, Syngnathiformes, Syngnathidae. The transcript has 3 exons.
CAACAUUCUCUGGAUUCAGAUGUGAGCCAUUAACUGACUUCAUCCCUCCAACAGAAACCAACUGUUUGAGGUUCUAUCUCAACAUUCUCUAGAUUCAGAUGACAGCCAUAAACCGACUUCAUCCCUCCAACAGAUUGACAGCAGGACAAAUCGCUGGAAGUGGGUAUGUCUCAAGCUUCUUCCACUUGGUCCACUCCA